RNAcentral lists this ribosomal RNA (1600 nucleotides) under Salmonella enterica. Its description in RNAcentral is "partial 23S ribosomal RNA". It matches the Rfam family "Bacterial large subunit ribosomal RNA", at positions 1221 to 2803 of the family's 2925-position model. Lineage: Bacteria; Pseudomonadati; Pseudomonadota; Gammaproteobacteria; Enterobacterales; Enterobacteriaceae. The record is from RNAcentral.
UUGUUGGGUAGGGGAGCGUUCUGUAAGCCUGUGAAGGUGUGUCGUGAGGCAUGCUGGAGGUAUCAGAAGUGCGAAUGCUGACAUAAGUAACGAUAAAGCGGGUGAAAAGCCCGCUCGCCGGAAGACCAAGGGUUCCUGUCCAACGUUAAUCGGGGCAGGGUGAGUCGACCCCUAAGGCGAGGCCGAAAGGCGUAGUCGAUGGGAAACGGGUUAAUAUUCCUGUACUUGGUGUUACUGCGAAGGGGGGACGGAGAAGGCUAUGUUGGCCGGGCGACGGUUGUCCCGGUUUAAGCGUGUAGGUGUGUGUUCCAGGUAAAUCCGGUUCACUUUAACACUGAGGCGUGAUGACGAGGCACUACGGUGCUGAAGCAACAAAUGCCCUGCUUCCAGGAAAAGCCUCUAAGCAUCAGGUAACAUCAAAUCGUACCCCAAACCGACACAGGUGGUCAGGUAGAGAAUACCAAGGCGCUUGAGAGAACUCGGGUGAAGGAACUAGGCAAAAUGGUGCCGUAACUUCGGGAGAAGGCACGCUGACACGUAGGUGAAGUGAUUUACUCAUGGAGCUGAAGUCAGUCGAAGAUACCAGCUGGCUGCAACUGUUUAUUAAAAACACAGCACUGUGCAAACACGAAAGUGGACGUAUACGGUGUGACGCCUGCCCGGUGCCGGAAGGUUAAUUGAUGGGGUCAGCGCAAGCGAAGCUCCUGAUCGAAGCCCCGGUAAACGGCGGCCGUAACUAUAACGGUCCUAAGGUAGCGAAAUUCCUUGUCGGGUAAGUUCCGACCUGCACGAAUGGCGUAAUGAUGGCCAGGCUGUCUCCACCCGAGACUCAGUGAAAUUGAACUCGCUGUGAAGAUGCAGUGUACCCGCGGCAAGACGGAAAGACCCCGUGAACCUUUACUAUAGCUUGACACUGAACAUUGAGCCUUGAUGUGUAGGAUAGGUGGGAGGCUUUGAAGCGUGGACGCCAGUCUGCGUGGAGCCGACCUUGAAAUACCACCCUUUAAUGUUUGAUGUUCUAACGUGGACCCGUGAUCCGGGUUGCGGACAGUGUCUGGUGGGUAGUUUGACUGGGGCGGUCUCCUCCUAAAGAGUAACGGAGGAGCACGAAGGUUGGCUAAUCCUGGUCGGACAUCAGGAGGUUAGUGCAAUGGCAUAAGCCAGCUUGACUGCGAGCGUGACGGCGCGAGCAGGUGCGAAAGCAGGUCAUAGUGAUCCGGUGGUUCUGAAUGGAAGGGCCAUCGCUCAACGGAUAAAAGGUACUCCGGGGAUAACAGGCUGAUACCGCCCAAGAGUUCAUAUCGACGGCGGUGUUUGGCACCUCGAUGUCGGCUCAUCACAUCCUGGGGCUGAAGUAGGUCCCAAGGGUAUGGCUGUUCGCCAUUUAAAGUGGUACGCGAGCUGGGUUUAGAACGUCGUGAGACAGUUCGGUCCCUAUCUGCCGUGGGCGCUGGAGAACUGAGGGGGGCUGCUCCUAGUACGAGAGGACCGGAGUGGACGCAUCACUGGUGUUCGGGUUGUCAUGCCAAUGGCACUGCCCGGUAGCUAAAUGCGGAAGAGAUAAGUGCUGAAAGCAUCUAAGCACGAAACUUGCCCCGAG